UUAACUCAAAUUUGUAUGGAGUUUGAAUGUUUGCCUACGUUUGCCGCUAGGGGCGCUGUUCCAACUCCAUACAAAUCUGAGUUA
Molecule: microRNA precursor, 84 nt
Filed under: Bombyx mori (domestic silkworm)
Lineage: Eukaryota; Metazoa; Arthropoda; Insecta; Lepidoptera; Bombycidae
Description: mir-2807 microRNA precursor family
Rfam family: mir-2807 microRNA precursor family
Source: Rfam by way of RNAcentral